UAUUUAGGUAGUGCCUCGAGUAUGAGACUGAUGGGGGUAAAGCACUGUUAUGGCUAGGGGGUUAUUGCAACUUACCAACCCAUGGCAAACUAAGAAUACCAUCAAGUUGCUCCUCGGGAGACAGACAUCGGGUGCUAACGUCCGGUGUCAAGAGGGAAACAACCCAGACCGCCAGCUAAGGUCCCAAAUGAUAGAUUAAGUGGUAAACGAAGUGGGAAGGCACAGACAGCCAGGAUGUUGGCUUAGAAGCAGCCAUCAUUUAAAGAAAGCGUAAUAGCUCACUGGUCGAGUCUUCCUGCGCGGAAGAUGUAACGGGGCUCAAAUCUAUAACCGAAGCUGCGGAUAUACUUUUGUAUAUGGUAGGGGAGCGUUCUGUAGGCCUGUGAAGGUGACUUGUAAAGGUUGCUGGAGGUAUCAGAAGUGCGAAUGUUGACAUGAGUAGCGAUAAAGUGGGUGAAAAGCCCGCUCGCCGAAAGCCCAAGGUUUCCUACGCAACGUUCAUCGGCGUAGGGUGAGUCGGCCCCUAAGGCGAGGCAGAAAUGCGUAGUCGAUGGGAAACAGGUUAAUAUUCCUGUACUUUGAUUCAAUGCGAUGUGGGGACGGAGAAGGUUAGGUUAGCAAACUGUUGGAAUAGUUUGUUUAAGCCAGUAGGUGGAAAGAGUAGGCAAAUCCGCUCUUUCUUAACACCGAGACGUGAUGACGAGUGUCUACGGACAUGAAGUGACCAAUACCACGCUUCCAGGAAAAGCCACUAAGCUUCAGUUGAAUCAGAACCGUACCGCAAACCGACACAGGUGGGCAGGAUGAGAAUUCUAAGGCGCUUGAGAGAACUCGGGAGAAGGAACUCGGCAAAUUGAUACCGUAACUUCGGGAGAAGGUAUGCCCUCUAAUGUUAAGGACUUGCUCCGUAAGCAUCUGAGGGUCGCAGAGAAUCGGUGGCUGCGACUGUUUAUUAAAAACACAGCACUCUGCUAACACGAAAGUGGACGUAUAGGGUGUGACGCCUGCCCGGUGCUGGAAGGUUAAUUGAAGAUGUGCAAGCAUCGGAUCGAAGCCCCAGUAAACGGCGGCCGUAACUAUAACGGUCCUAAGGUAGCGAAAUUCCUUGUCGGGUAAGUUCCGACCCGCACGAAUGGCGUAACGAUGGCCACACUGUCUCCUCCCGAGACUCAGCGAAGUUGAAAUGGUUGUGAAGAUGCAAUCUCCCCGCUGCUAGACGGAAAGACCCCGUGAACCUUUACUGUAGCUUUGCAUUGGACUUUGAAGUCACUUGUGUAGGAUAGGUGGGAGGCUUUGAAGCAGAGA
Molecule: ribosomal RNA, 1305 nt
Filed under: Kingella kingae
Lineage: Bacteria; Pseudomonadati; Pseudomonadota; Betaproteobacteria; Neisseriales; Neisseriaceae
Description: partial 23S ribosomal RNA
Rfam family: Bacterial large subunit ribosomal RNA
Source: RNAcentral